AUUGAACGCUGGCGGCAGGCCUAACACAUGCAAGUCGAGCGGAGCGGCGGACGGGUGAGUAAUUCCUAGGAAUCUGCCUGGUCGUGGGGGAUAACGUCCGGAAACGGGCGCUAAUACCGCAUCCUAUCAGAUGAGCCUAUGUCGGAUUCGCUAGUUGGUGGGGUAAAGGCCUACCAAGGCGACGAUCCGUAACUGGUCUGAGAGGAUGAUCAGGCACACUGGAACUGAGACACGGUCCAGACGCCUACGGGAGGCAGCAGGGGGGAAUAUUGGACAAUGGGCGAAAGCCUGAUACAGCCAUGCCGCGUGUGUGAAGAAGGUCUUCGGAUUGUAAGGCACUUUAAGUUGGGAGGCGUUACCAACAGAAUAAGCACCGGCUAACUUCGUGCCAGCAGCCGCGGUAAUUC
RNAcentral lists this ribosomal RNA (407 nucleotides) under uncultured bacterium. Its description in RNAcentral is "partial 16S ribosomal RNA". It matches the Rfam family "Bacterial small subunit ribosomal RNA", at positions 30 to 526 of the family's 1533-position model. The record is from RNAcentral.